CUGGAAGUGAACGGAGGGAAAGUUACUUUGGAGGAGGACGACCAUUUGGGGAGUUGCUCAGUGAUCUCUCCGCUACCACCUCCGGUGUGCCAGAAAGCCACCAUCCACAUCUAGGGCAGGGAACGAUUGGUGUGGAAAUCAGUGGCGGCC
This is a long non-coding RNA of Lampris incognitus (smalleye Pacific opah), 150 nucleotides long. RefSeq lists it as uncharacterized. The transcript has 3 exons. NCBI's taxonomy places the organism in Eukaryota, Metazoa, Chordata, Actinopteri, Lampriformes, Lampridae. The record is from RefSeq and is a predicted model, not a curated record.